GAACCGAACAGCUCAUUUUCCAGGCGCUCGUUGGGAGCGGUGAGCUUGGACCAAUCUUCGUCUCUGGAUUCGUCCGACCAGCGGUUUCCUCCUCCUCCGCCGCCGC
Notothenia coriiceps (black rockcod) is the source of this 106-nucleotide long non-coding RNA. RefSeq lists it as uncharacterized. The record is from RefSeq and is a predicted model, not a curated record. Lineage: Eukaryota; Metazoa; Chordata; Actinopteri; Perciformes; Nototheniidae. The transcript has 3 exons.